Molecule: long non-coding RNA, 602 nt
Organism: Planococcus citri (citrus mealybug)
Lineage: Eukaryota; Metazoa; Arthropoda; Insecta; Hemiptera; Pseudococcidae
Exons: 2
Source: RefSeq, a predicted model, not a curated record
UAAUUUACGUAUUCGCAUCAUUUAACGUUCUGCUAUCUCGCGUGCAGUUUUAAAAUUAAAACGUUCACAGCGUAAUACCUCCGUAAUGAUUUUUUCAUUCAUAAAUACACAAAAUCAGAUCUGUCUCAUUAAACAACAUCCUAACACAUCCGAAUUAUUUAUGGGCACAACGAUAAAAUGUUAAACGGUCCAAUUAGCGCGUUAAAAAGUCGACAACGAAAAAAAAAUCUCAAAGACACAGUUCUCUGAAAAUGUUCUAUUUUCGAACGAGAGAGAGAAGUACGAGUAGGUAGCGAUGGUGCUCCAUUUAGAGACAAAAACGAAGACGGGACAAUGAAUAUAAGUAAAUGCAUUAAUGGUACAGAAUCCGAUUCCGAACAUGAUUUUAUCUUGGAUGACGGUAAAUGCAAUAUCACCGAUAUUGAGUCUUCGGAAGAUGAUUGAACAUCCCUGUCCACUUCAAAGAACAAAAACAAAAAAACAAAAACUAACAAGUUUUUGAGCUAAGUAUAUACUUAUAUGAAUAGAUGUGUAGGUACAUUGAAUUUUGUUAAGAUAAAUGUAAUUAUUGUGAAAAUAUAAACUUGGGAGUUUCCUUUUAA